GUCUACGGCCAUACCACCCUGAACGCGCCCGAUCUCGUCUGAUCUCGGAAGCUAAGCAGGGUCGGGCCUGGUUAGUACUUGGAU
Molecule: ribosomal RNA, 84 nt
Filed under: Bison bison bison
Lineage: Eukaryota; Metazoa; Chordata; Mammalia; Artiodactyla; Bovidae
Source: RNAcentral